Molecule: small nuclear RNA, 99 nt
Filed under: Ipomoea nil (Japanese morning glory)
Lineage: Eukaryota; Viridiplantae; Streptophyta; Magnoliopsida; Solanales; Convolvulaceae
Description: U2 spliceosomal RNA
Rfam family: U2 spliceosomal RNA
About the family: U2 is a small nuclear RNA (snRNA) component of the spliceosome (involved in pre-mRNA splicing).
Source: Rfam by way of RNAcentral
AUACCUUUCUCGGCCUUUAGGCUAGGAUCAAGUGUAGUAUCUCUUCUUAUCAUUUAAUAUUAGAAUAAAGGUCAAAUAGGUUAUUGAAUUGCACACGAU